This 236-nucleotide ribosomal RNA is filed under the name Mnesilochus portentosus. Its description in RNAcentral is "partial 12S ribosomal RNA". Lineage: Eukaryota; Metazoa; Arthropoda; Insecta; Phasmatodea; Lonchodidae. The record is from RNAcentral.
UAAACUAGGAUUAGAUACCCUAUUAUUCAUAAUAUAAAUUUUUACCUAGGUAUUAAUAGUUUUGUUCUUUAAACCUAAAGAAUUUGGCGGUGUUUUAGUCUAUUCAGAGGAAUUUGUCUCGUAAUCGAUAUUCCCCGUUUUAUCUUUCUUUAAUUUGUUAUAUCAUUUUGUAUACCGCCGUUAUAAGUUUAUUUUUAUAGAAUUAUUUACUUUAAAUUUUAUUUUAUUAUAUUUCA